UACGUAGGGGGCAAGCGUUGUCCGGAUUUAUUGGGCGUAAAGAGCGUGUAGGCGGCCACACAGGUCAGCUGUGAAAACUCGAGGCUCAACCUCGAGACGUCGGUUGAAACCGUAGGGCUAGAGUCCGGAAGAGGAGAGUGGAAUUCCCGGUGUAGCGGUGAAAUGCGCAGAUAUCGGGAAGAACACCCGGGGCGAAGGCGGCUCUCUGGGACGGUACUGACGCUGAGACGCGAAAGCGUGGGGAGCGAACAGG
Molecule: ribosomal RNA, 253 nt
Filed under: uncultured bacterium
Lineage: Bacteria
Description: partial 16S ribosomal RNA
Rfam family: Bacterial small subunit ribosomal RNA
Source: RNAcentral